UGGGGGAUAUUGCACAAUGGAGGAAACUCUGAUGCAGCAACGCCGCGUGAGUGAUGAAGGUCUUCGGAUUGUAAAGCUCUGUCUUUUGGGACGAUAAUGACGGUACCAAAGGAGGAAGCCACGGCUAACUACGUGCCAGCAGCCGCGGUAAUACGUAGGUGGCGAGCGUUGUCCGGAUUUACUGGGCGUAAAGGGUGCGUAGGCGGAUGUUUAAGUGAGAUGUGAAAUACCCGGGCUUAACUUGGGUGCUGCAUUUCAAACUGGAUAUCUAGAGUGCAGGAGAGGAGAAUGGAAUUCCUAGUGUAGCGGUGAAAUGCGUAGAGAUUAGGAAGAACACCAGUGGCGAAGGCGAUUCUCUGGACUGUAACUGACGCUGAGGCACGAAAGCGUGGGUAGCAAACAGGAUUAGAUACCCUGGUAGUCCACGCCGUAAACGAUGAGUACUAGGUGUAGGAGGUAUCGACCCCUUCUGUGCCGCAGUAAACACAUUAAGUACUCCGCCUGGGAAGUACGAUCGCAAGAUUAAAAC
RNAcentral lists this ribosomal RNA (529 nucleotides) under uncultured bacterium. RNAcentral's name for it is "partial 16S ribosomal RNA". It matches the Rfam family "Bacterial small subunit ribosomal RNA", at positions 355 to 900 of the family's 1533-position model. The record is from RNAcentral.